UUUGUUUUUUUUUUUUUUACCUAUGAUUUUUGUUUCAUUUUUUUUUAUUUCAGAAAUACAACUAGUAAAUUCUGCACAAGAAAAAUAGCGAUAAAAUUAUUUAUUUCUCUUAAAUAUAAUUUUAAGUCGCUGUACUUGCGGGGAAGUGCGUCAAGUAAUGAGAAAUCUCGCGCAAGCGAUUAGCGACUUAGAUGACCUGCCAUGUCCGUGAGUAAUUGAUAAUAGAAAAAAAAAAUAACACGAUUUAAUAAAAAAAAGUUAGCUACAAGUGAGUCAAUUUUUUUUAAACACACAUUACAAUGAGAACUUCAGCCAGACAACUGUAAAGUAAAAAAGUAAAUUUAGGGAUAACUUGAAAUAUGAAGCAACUUUGUGUGAAAAUAUCUUUUGUAAUAGAAUGUAGAACGAAGUUGUAAAUUAGUCUUUUCAUUUUUUUUUUUUUUUGGUUUAAGUAUGGAGCAGUGUGCCACUCCAAUUCUUUCUUCGUAAGUGUCGUUUGUGUUGUUUUUAGAAAUAAAACGUACUCUCCAGUGUAUAUGAUUUUAAUCUCCGUUCUGUUUACUUAAACCAAAUUUUUCUUUAUAAUUUACACUUAAAAACAAUAAAAUUGAUCAUCAUUUUCCCCCAUAUGUAAAGUACUCCAGUAGCAUCCAGAAAGAGGACGUACAGCUCCUCACCGGGAUGUUCGUCAGGGUUAGUAUUUUUCCCCAAAAAUUAAAAGUUUCAAUUGUUUUAUUGUUCAGAAAUAAUAAAUUCUACACUCAACUUUCACUCAAAAUUAAUAGCAUUUCAUAUUCUGUCCGUACAUAUAUAGCACGCCGAUGUCAAAGAAGAGGAGGGGAAACCUGUUAGUACAUUUUAUAUUUAAUGAAACACAAUUUCUUGUAAAUGAUCUUAGAAAUAUACGUAUAUAUUUUUUUUCAUAUAUUCUUAACUUUAGUCCAUCCACUCCGUCGGUGCCGAUUGGGUCAGUAAAUUACUUUUGAUUUUAUCCUUUUAAAUAUUAAAUUUGUAAUUUAUACAUUGUAGUAUGCAGUAAAUAUAAUGUGACCCUAAAUUCUCAUGUUCAUUUAGAUUACCCCCCAAUGCGCUGAUUCGUCCAACGUUAGUAUGAUUCUUUUUAAUUAAAUUAAAAUAUUUUUGUCACUGAGUUAUGUUUUUUUUUAAAUGUUUGAAUGGUUAUAUAUGUAAAAAAUUUUUUUUUGCUCGAAUGAAUACAAAUAAUCACACAAUUUUUCUUUAUUUAACAGGAAAAGGAUCGAAAUCGUCACAAUUAGCGACGAGUAAGUUACGUAACAAAUUUACACGUUUCAUUUGGUUUAAUUUUAAAUAUAUAUAGAUUUUUUUAGUUCCAAAUUUUACCUCCUUUUUCCCGUAGUUCAACCACGGAGAGUUACUGCCUUCUGGACAGUAGUCUCGAGAGACAACUGCUAUCGCUUGAGGGAAACGCAAGUAUGGCCUCGGCCAGCACCUCCACCGCGGCGAUGGAGCCCGAGGAGCCCGAGAAAUGAUUGGAAAAAUUAACAGAGGUCCCCUUCCCCCCAGACAGGAGGAGAAAAUGGACAUGUUUUAAAAUUAAUAAAUAUUUUUUAAAAGUGUUUGCAUUGUUAGUUGUGUAUAUUGCAAUUGAAUUACUUGAAAGAAAGAAAACCUGGUAUCUAUAGUUCCAGAAAUCUGGAGACUGAGCAAUGGAUUGAUUGAUUUAAAAAAAAAAUUCUGCUUUGGGGUGAUGACUCAU
Magallana angulata is the source of this 1738-nucleotide long non-coding RNA. RefSeq lists it as uncharacterized. NCBI's taxonomy places the organism in Eukaryota, Metazoa, Mollusca, Bivalvia, Ostreida, Ostreidae. The transcript has 4 exons. The record is from RefSeq and is a predicted model, not a curated record.